AGUAACCCACAGUACGUAUGAAUAACUCAACCUGGUGUCAGAAGUCAGUCUGGAAGAAUAAUACAGUUGCUAACACGGGAGAAGCGAAGAUAAUCGAAAAAAAGAGCGAGAACUUUUUUGUUGUUUGCUGACAGCUUUAAAAAUGGAAGUUUUGCAGUCCCAAUCAACACUUCAGCUGACUGGAAAUGUAGCUGAAAACUGGAAAAGAUUUAAACAGUGUUUUGAAAUUUAUUUAUCGGCGAUCGGAGCAGAUAAUAAAACGGAGAAAAUGAAAGCUGCAAUUCUACUCCAUGUGGUUGGGGACGACGCAGUUGAGGUAUAUAACCAUUUUACUUUUGAAAAUGGGGGUAAUUUGAAUCUAAAAGCAAUAAUGGACACAUUUGACACAUUUUGUAUACCGAAGUGCAAUAUGACAUAUGAACGGUACAAUUUUUUUCAAAUAUCAGCAGAGACCUGGUCAAACGAUUGAUCAAUUUGUUAUGGAGUUGAGAAACUGCAGUAAAAGAUCUAAGUUUGCAAAGCUUACAGACUCUGUCAUUAAAGACAGAAUUGUUUGCGGCAUUCUGGAUAAUGGGCUGAGAGAAAGACUGUUAGAACAAGAUUUGAAUUUGGAAAGAGCUGUGGCACUCUGCAAAGUUUCUGAGACUGUGAUGUCACAGGCUAAAGUGCUUUUUAUCGAGGAUGGCUGUGCAGAUGUUGUAAAGCACGAACAUAUUAGAAAAAAUAAUGCAGCGACAAUGAAACCGACAGAGAGCAAGACGUCAUCUGAAAGAAGAAGACUAUGUAAUCGCUGUGGGCAGCAACAUCAUCUAAAAAAGUGUCCAGCUUAUUGGAAAAUAUGCAACACCUGCGAUUUCCAGUGUCUACGUGUUUUAUUUUUCAUAGGAUCGAGAAGCCUGCCAAAUUAAGAAGAUGGGUGGCACCAACUCAUGCUGGAGAUUCUACACGUAUUGCCAGUCCUCACUGACAGGUUCCAAGGAACUGUCAGCCUUAAUCACACCACUAUUGGAAGGGGAGGUUCACCUGCAAAGUCAUGGCUUUGUGCAACUGCUUUCAGUCUUCAGUUCUCAUGCAGUGAAAUUUUCCAUUUCUUUGUAGCUAGAUGUACACUCAGUGACCACUUUUUUAGGUACUCCUGAACACCUGCUCAUUAAUGCACCUAU
Molecule: long non-coding RNA, 1163 nt
Organism: Hypanus sabinus (Atlantic stingray)
Lineage: Eukaryota; Metazoa; Chordata; Chondrichthyes; Myliobatiformes; Dasyatidae
Exons: 3
Source: RefSeq, a predicted model, not a curated record